UAGGGAAUCUUCGGCAAUGGGGGCAACCCUGACCGAGCAACGCCGCGUGAGUGAAGAAGGUUUUCGGAUCGUAAAAGCUCUGUUGUAAGAGAAGAACGUGUGUGAGAGUGGAAAGUUCACACAGUGACGGUAACUUACCAGAAAGGGACGGCUAACUACGUGCCAA
RNAcentral lists this ribosomal RNA (166 nucleotides) under uncultured bacterium. RNAcentral's name for it is "partial 16S rRNA". It matches the Rfam family "Bacterial small subunit ribosomal RNA", at positions 355 to 511 of the family's 1533-position model. The record is from RNAcentral.